UACGUAGGGAGCAAGCGUUGUCCGGAAUCAUUGGGCGUAAAGCGCGCGUAGGUGGCCACAUAGGUCCGUUGUGAAAGUCAAAGGCUCAACCUUUGAAAGCCGAUGGAUACUGUGUGGCUAGAGUACGGAAGAGGCGAGUGGAAUUCCUGGUGUAGCGGUGGAAUGCGCAGAUAUCAGGAGGAACACCAAUAGCGAAGGCAGCUCGCUGGGACGUUACUGACACUGAGGCGCGAAAGCGUGGGGAGCGAACAGG
This 253-nucleotide ribosomal RNA is filed under the name uncultured bacterium. Its description in RNAcentral is "partial 16S ribosomal RNA". It matches the Rfam family "Bacterial small subunit ribosomal RNA", at positions 524 to 776 of the family's 1533-position model. The record is from RNAcentral.